CCUACGGGUGGCAGCAGUGAGGAAUAUUGGUCAAUGGGCGCGAGCCUGAACCAGCCAAGUAGCGUGAAGGAUGACUGCCCUACGGGUUGUAAACUUCUUUUGUCAGGGAAGAGUAGAAGACGGUACCUGACGAAUAAGCCACGGCUAACUACGUGCCAGCAGCCGCGGGAAUACGUGGGGGGCAAGCGUUGUCCGGAAUUACUGGGUGGAAAGGGCGUGUAGCCGGGUUGACAAGGCAGAUGUGAAAUCCUGCGUCUUAACCGCAGAACUGCAUUUGAAACUGUUGUUCUUGAGUACUGGAGAGGGAGGCGGAAUUCGUGGUGUAGCGGUGAAAUGCGUAGAUAUUAGGAGGAACACCGGGGGCGAAGGCGGUCUGCUGGACAGCAACUGACGGUGAGGCGCGAAAGCGUGGGUAGCAAACAGGAUUAGAUACCCGUGUAGUC
Molecule: ribosomal RNA, 443 nt
Filed under: uncultured bacterium
Lineage: Bacteria
Description: partial 16S ribosomal RNA
Rfam family: Bacterial small subunit ribosomal RNA
Source: RNAcentral